CCGAUUUUAAAUGGAUUUUGAUUUUAAUCAAAAUUAUUUAAUUUAAUUUAAAAUUUAUUUUCUUUAAAUUAAUAUUAAUUUUAAAAUAUAAAAAUAUAAACAAAUUUUGUGAGGUUUUAAAAUUUAAAAAACAUACAAAAAAUAAUUAAAUAAUAAUAAUAAUAACAAAUAUUCAAAAAAAAGAAAAAAAAUAUAUCAAAAAGAAGUUGAAAAUAAAAAAAUUAUAUUCUGAAAAUGCAAAAAAAAAUCUUAAAAAA
RNAcentral lists this long non-coding RNA (257 nucleotides) under Lathyrus oleraceus (garden pea). Its description in RNAcentral is "Pisum sativum (pea) long non-coding RNA (PSAT_LNC030547)". The record is from RNAcentral. Lineage: Eukaryota; Viridiplantae; Streptophyta; Magnoliopsida; Fabales; Fabaceae.